Long non-coding RNA from Sinocyclocheilus rhinocerous, 236 nucleotides. RefSeq lists it as uncharacterized. NCBI's taxonomy places the organism in Eukaryota, Metazoa, Chordata, Actinopteri, Cypriniformes, Cyprinidae. The transcript has 3 exons. The record is from RefSeq and is a predicted model, not a curated record.
CUUGGUGGUUUUGUUUCUACAGGUUUGGCUGGAGCCCACCAAGCUCAUAGUGAAACAAGUGAGACGGCCAAUGAACACACUCUUUCGGCUGUCGGUGAAGUUCUUUCCUCCAGAUCCUGGUCAGCUUCAGGAGGAGUUUACUAGGUACUUGUUUUCUCUGCAAAUCAAGAGGGAUCUAAUGGAGUGCCGACUGAACUGUACGGAAAACACUGCCGCCCUGCUGGCCUCUCAUUUGG